GACGAACGCUGGCGGCGUGCUUAACACAUGCAAGUCGAGCGGUAAGGCCCUUUCGGGGGUACACGAGCGGCGAACGGGUGAGUAACACGUGGGUGACCUGCCCUCAGCUCUGGGAUAAGCCUGGGAAACCGGGUCUAAUACUGGAUAUGACUCCAUGACGCAUGUUGUGGGGUGGAAAGCCUUGUGCGGCUGAGGAUGGGCCCGCGGCCUAUCAGCUUGUUGGUGGGGUGANGGCCUACCAAGGCGACGACGGGUAGCCGGCCUGAGAGGGCGACCGGCCACACUGGGACUGAGACACGGCCCAGACUCCUACGGGAGGCAGCAGUGGGGAAUCUUGCGCAAUGGGCGAAAGCCUGACGCAGCGACGCCGCGUGGAGGAU
RNAcentral lists this ribosomal RNA (380 nucleotides) under uncultured bacterium. RNAcentral describes it as "bacterial SSU rRNA". It matches the Rfam family "Bacterial small subunit ribosomal RNA", at positions 28 to 409 of the family's 1533-position model. The record is from RNAcentral.